CGGCGCGGCUCUCCAUCCCUCAGCUUCCCCCCUACGCCAGCCUCUUCCCUGCCUUCCUCCCCUUCUCAGUGAUUCCAGGACCCAGGCAGAAAGUCACACAAAACACUUUGUGUCUGUCAGCAGAUUCCUGGAAGGUCACGCUGAAUGAUGAAUGCUCCCGGUCCAAUAGAUUCAUCCGUUCCUGGUAGAAAAGGAAUCCCGAGUUGAAACAUUACAUCAAACUGCUAGUCUGCACCCCGCACCAUGAAAUAUCAGCUUUAUUGGUUCCAUUCUUCAAGACAUUGCGAAAUAAUGCAAAGCACAUUGUGUAACCAGGAUACGGCAGAUUUCAACGCACCCCAUCUCAAAUGACCUUCUUGGUUUCCUCAGUCAAGUUCAAGGGUCCAGUUUCCUUGAAUGUGUUCUUGGAUGACCUCAGCCUUGAUGCUCUCAUCUCCCUGUUUGGGCCCAGGUGUUCUCUUUUACAGCCUAAUAUUGCACAGCAUUUCAGUAGCGGAGUGCUGUCUCUGUGAUGGGCCAAACUCUUCGUCUACAAAUGAACACUCCUGUAGAGGAAGCAUCAACCGCCUUCUCUCCGACCACGUGCAAGAUGGCG
Molecule: long non-coding RNA, 595 nt
Filed under: Sus scrofa (pig)
Lineage: Eukaryota; Metazoa; Chordata; Mammalia; Artiodactyla; Suidae
Description: lncRNA (ENSSSCG00015005325.1)
Source: RNAcentral